GACGAACGCUGGCGGCGCGCCUAACACAUGCAAGUCGAACGAGCGAGAGAGAGCUUGCUUUCUCGAUCGAGUGGCGAAAGGGUGAGUAACGCGUGAGGAACCUGCCUCAAAGAGGGGGACAACAGUUGGAAACGACUGCUAAUACCGCAUAAGCCCACGACCCGGCCUCGGGUAGAGGGAAAAGGAGCAAUCCGCUUUGAGAUGGCCUCGCGUCCGAUUAGCUAGUUGGUGAGGUAACGGCCCACCAAGGCGACGAUCGGUAGCCGGACUGAGAGGCUGAACGGCCACACUGGGACUGAGACACGGCACAGGCUCCUACGGGAGGAAGCAGUGGGGAAUAUUGCACAAUGGGGGAAACCCUGAUGAAGCGACGCCGCGUGGAGGAAGCAGGUCUUCGGAUUGUAAACUCCUGUUGUUGAGGAAGAUAAUGACGGUACUCAAAAAGGAAGUGACGGCUAACUACGUG
This 466-nucleotide ribosomal RNA is filed under the name uncultured bacterium. RNAcentral describes it as "partial 16S ribosomal RNA". It matches the Rfam family "Bacterial small subunit ribosomal RNA", at positions 28 to 507 of the family's 1533-position model. The record is from RNAcentral.